Molecule: ribosomal RNA, 482 nt
Filed under: uncultured bacterium
Lineage: Bacteria
Description: partial 16S ribosomal RNA
Rfam family: Bacterial small subunit ribosomal RNA
Source: RNAcentral
AAUGAACGUUGGCGGCGUGGAUUAGGCAUGCGAGUCGUGCGAGAAUCGUAGCAAUACGAGGACAGCGGCGCAAGGGGGAGGAAUAAGUAGAAAUCUACCCUCGGGUCGGGGAUAGCGGCGGGAAACUGCCGGUAAUACCCGAUAACGUCUUUGGACCAAAGGUGUGAUUCCGUCUGAGGAUGAGUCUACUUCCUAUUAGCUAGUUGGCGGGGUAAUGGCCCACCAAGGCAACGAUGGGUAGCAGGUGUGAGAGCAUGACCUGCCUCAUUGGGACUGAGACACUGCCCAGACACCUACGGGUGGCUGCAGUCGAGAAUCUUCGGCAAUGGACGAAAGUCUGACCGAGCGACGCCGCGUGCGGGAUGAAGGCCUUCGGGUUGUAAACCGCUGUCGGAGGGGAACAAGUGUACGGGGGUUCUCCCCUGUAUUUGAGUGAACCUAGGAGGAAGGAGAGGCUAAGCUCGUGCCAGCCGCCGCCGUAA